Molecule: long non-coding RNA, 900 nt
Organism: Lycium barbarum (goji berry)
Lineage: Eukaryota; Viridiplantae; Streptophyta; Magnoliopsida; Solanales; Solanaceae
Exons: 3
Source: RefSeq, a predicted model, not a curated record
UUCAGAUUGGCGAUUGGGUGUUCCUGAAAGUGUCACCGAUGAAAGGUGUUAUGCGAUUUGGCAAGAAAGGAAAGCUCAGUCCGAGAUAUAUUGGGCCCUAUCUGAUUAUUCGCAAAAUAGGCAAGGUGGCCUACGAAUUGGAUUUGCCAGCUGACUUGGGAGCGGUACACCCGGUAUUUCAUGUUUCUAUGCUUCGUAAGUGUAUUGGUGACCCUUCCAGAGUCUUUCCUGUAGAUGACAUUCAGGUCACAGAGGAGCUAUCUUAUGAGGAGCAGCCUAUAGCCAUAUUGGAUCGCCAGGUAAAAAGGUUGCGGAACAAAGAUAUGGCUUCUGUUAAAGUGCUGUGGCGGAACAAUAACCGAGAGGAAAUGACCUGGGAAGCUGAGGAGCAUAUGAAGAAGAAGUAUCCUCAUUUAUUUUCAGAGCCUACAGAUCGUGGGCAGGCCGAAUCAUAGUUUGGACUUAGCUUGAGUUGGAUCAUAUUGGAGAGCGUUUGAGGUACAGACGCACAGCCUGGUGAUCCACCUGUUUAGGACACCCUUUCUGCUAUUCGGAGUGCUCCUCUCUUUCCGGAGCUUAUACUUUUGGUAUAUAUAUAUUUAUUAGUGCAUUUGUAUAUAUUCGUUCAUGGGUACGGCGGGGCCCUGUCCCGUCAUAUGAUUAUGUCGGUCUGUUUAGAGGUCUGUGGACAUGUUUGUGGGUUAGGGUCUUUCUGUAUGGAUGUAUGUACAUGUCGUUUGGGCGAUCCCAUACGCCGAGGCGGCCGGUCCGCAUAUGUUGUUUGGGCGAUCCUAUACGCCGAGGCGGCCGGUCCGCAUAUGUUUAUAUAUUGCUUGGUUAGCCCUGUGUGGCUUUUGUUGGUAUUUUCUGCGUGCAGGGUAUAUUGGAUAGUCCGUAAAA